RNAcentral lists this ribosomal RNA (303 nucleotides) under uncultured bacterium. RNAcentral describes it as "bacterial SSU rRNA". It matches the Rfam family "Bacterial small subunit ribosomal RNA", at positions 28 to 333 of the family's 1533-position model. The record is from RNAcentral.
GACGAACGCUGGCGGCGUGCUUAACACAUGCAAGUCGAGCGGUAAGGCCCUUUCGGGGUACGACGAGCGGCGAACGGGUGAGUAACACGUGGGUGACCUGCCCUCAGCUCUGGGAUAAGCCUGGGAAACCGGGUCUAAUACUGGAUAUGACUCCAUGACGCAUGUUGUGGGGUGGAAAGCCUUGUGCGGCUGAGGAUGGGCCCGCGGCCUAUCAGCUUGUUGGNGGGGUGAGGCCUACCAAGGCGACGACGGGUAGCCGGCCUGAGAGGGCGACCGGCCACACUGGGACUGAGACACGGCCCA